CCGUUCUUCGCUGAGCGGCCCGGGCGGCCGGCCUUUUACUUUGAAAAAAUUAGAGUGUUCAAGGCGGGCCCGAUGUGCCCGGAUAAUCGCGCAUGGAAUGAUGGAACAGGACCGCCGUCCCGUUCGGCCGGUCUCAGGGGCGGAGGUAAUGAUUGAAAGGGACGGCCGGGGGCAUUCGUACCGCGGCGGGAGAGGUGAAAUUCGANGAUCGUCGCGAGACGGCCGAGAGCGAAAGCAUUUUCAAGAGCCCUUUAUUUAAUCAAGAACGAAAGUCGGAGGUUCAAAGACGAUCAGAUACCGUCGUAGUUCCGACCGUAAACGAAGCCGACCGGCGAUUCGCGGAAUUCUCGCACGGAUUGCGCGGCGGCCCCCGGGAAACCCGAGUCUCUGGGUUCCGGGGGGAGUAUGGUCGCAAAGCUGAAACUUAAAGGAAUUGACGGAAGGGCACCACCAGGAGUGGGGUCUGCGGCUUAAUUUGACUCAACACGGGAAAACUCACCCGGUCCGGACACCGCUAGGAUUGACAGACCGAGGCUCUUUCUUGAUUCGGUGGGUGGUGGUGCAUGGCCGUUCUUAGUUGGUGGAGCGAUCUGUCUGGUUAAUUCCGAUAACGAACGAGACUCCGGCCUGCUAGUUAGCGCGACGGCGUCCGGCGGCCGUCAGCUUCUCGUCACCCGGCUUCGGUCGGUGUGGCGGUAGCCGGUCGCCCGCCGUCGCGACCCCGAGGCUUCUUAGAGGGACGGGCGGUGGCCAGCCGCACGAGAAGGAGCGAUAACAGGUCUGUGAUGCCCUUAGACGUCCGGGGCCGCACGCGUGCUACACUGGGGGAGUCAAUGCGGACGUCUUCCCGGCCCGAAGGGCGUCGGGAAAGCCGCUGAGUCUCCCCCGUGCUCGGGAUCGGGGCUUGACCAUUGUGCCCCGUAAACGAGGAAUUCCCCGUAGGCGCCGGUCAUAACCCGGCGCCGAUUACGUCCCUGCCCUUUGUACACACCGCCCGUCGCUACCAUCGGUGAACGGUCUAGCGAGGGAUUCGGACCGGCGCGAAGUCCUCCCUUCAUCGGUUGGGCUUCUCGCCAGAAAGAUUCCCGAACUCGGUCGCUCGGAGAUAGUAAAAGU
RNAcentral lists this ribosomal RNA (1116 nucleotides) under Xenocratena suecica. Its description in RNAcentral is "SSU rRNA". It matches the Rfam family "Eukaryotic small subunit ribosomal RNA", at positions 717 to 1789 of the family's 1831-position model. Lineage: Eukaryota; Metazoa; Mollusca; Gastropoda; Nudibranchia; Xenocratenidae. The record is from RNAcentral.